Molecule: ribosomal RNA, 1707 nt
Filed under: Triticum aestivum (bread wheat)
Lineage: Eukaryota; Viridiplantae; Streptophyta; Magnoliopsida; Poales; Poaceae
Description: partial small subunit ribosomal RNA
Source: RNAcentral
AUGAUGAAAAUGCAUGGGCUUGGAAAUGGCCCUUACUGGAUUAUCUACUACGCAUACUUCCUUAUUUUGUCUACGGUGUAUCUUGUGCUAUUUGUCAUUUUUGGAGCCCUUAUAGGUCUAAAUUUUUUCAAGACGAACGACUACAGUAUCCAGUUUGUUUUCUUCUUCAGUUUCAUUAACUUGCAGAUUGUAUUAUCCUUCCUAGCUGCAACAUUCUUUUCGAAGGUUAAUACUGCUCAAGCAAUUGCAUAUCUGUACAUAUUUGGAUCAGGGUUAAUGGCAGGAUCUCUUAUUCGGAAUUUUCUUGAAGGUGGAAAAUUUCCAAGAAACUGGAUUACAGUUCUGGAGAUAAUACCUGCAUUUUCUUUAUAUCGAGGAUUAUACGAGCUUAGCCAGUAUGCUAUUAGGGCUUCAGAAACAGGAAAUCCUGGCAUGCGAUGGAGUGAUCUAAAUGACCGUACAAAUGGAAUGAGGGAUGUGCUGAUCAUUAUUAUUGUUGAGUGGUUGGUUUUGCUUCCCGUUGCAUAUUAUUUUGACUAUGCUGCUUCAGUUGGAAACAGCUCUGGUCUCCUUUCCAUCAUCAAACGUCUCCUAAGGAAAAACCCCACUUGGAGAAGGAUAGCUGUUAACGAAGUCGCCGAUAACGAUGUUCAUGUAGAAAUGGAGAAGCUAGACAUUAUUAAAGAAAGGGAGACUGUUGAUCAAGUAUUACAGCAGCGGAACAGUGGCUACGCUGUUGUCUGUGAUGAUCUCAAGAAAGUAUAUCAUGGAAAGGAUGGUAACCCUGAUAAGUAUGCUGUUCGAGGUCUAUCACUUGCUUUGCCGUACGGAGAGUGUUUGGGCAUUCUUGGUCCUAAUGGAGCUGGCAAGAGCUCUUUUAUUAGCAUGAUGAUUGGGUUUUCAAAGCCAACAUCAGGGAAUGCAUUUGUACAGGAUUUCAGCAUACACACUGACAUGGAAAACGUAUACAACAGCAUGGGGGUUUGCCCGCAGAAUGAUAUGCUUUGGGAGAUGCUGACUGGCAGAGAACACCUCCAGUUUUAUGGUCGACUGAAGAGCCUCAGUGGCUCUGCUUUGGACCUUGCCGUCGAAGAAUCUUUAAGAAGUGUAAAUUUACUUCUUGGCGGUGCUGCUGACAAGCAAGUCAGGAAGUACAGCGGUGGCAUGAAGAGGCGUCUUAGCGUGGCCAUCUCGCUGAUUGGAGAUGCUAAAGUAGUGUACAUGGACGAGCCCAGCACUGGACUGGAUCCAGCUUCGAGGAAGAGUCUCUGGACUGCUGUGAAGCAAGCAAAGCAAGAUAGAGCAAUCAUUCUUACAACCCAUUCCAUGGAAGAAGCCGAAGUUCUCUGCGAUCGGUUGUGUAUUAUGGUCGAUGGCAGGCUCCAGUGCAUAGGAAGGCCUAAAGAGCUCAUAGCAAGAUAUGGAGGCUAUUAUGUGCUGACGAUGACGACAUCCUCAGAGUUCGAGCGCGAGGUCGAGGAUUUGGCGCUGAAGCUCUCUCAGAACGCGAGGAAGGUAUAUCAUUUGUCAGGGACACAGAAAUACGAGCUCUCGAAGCAAGAAGUUAGGAUUGCAGAUGUUUUCAUGGCCGUGGAGAAUCUCAAGAGGAGAGUGGAAGUGCAAGCAUGGGGCCUCGCGGACACCACCAUGGAAGAUGUGUUCGUCAAGGUCGCGACAGGGGCGCAGUCAAGCGACGAACUCUCUUAG